Planococcus citri (citrus mealybug) is the source of this 450-nucleotide long non-coding RNA. RefSeq lists it as uncharacterized. The transcript is spliced from 3 exons. NCBI's taxonomy places the organism in Eukaryota, Metazoa, Arthropoda, Insecta, Hemiptera, Pseudococcidae. The record is from RefSeq and is a predicted model, not a curated record.
UAUUUUUUUCCGGUAAAGCUCUAUUAGCAAUAGUGUGAAACUGUGAACGUGAUCUUCGUAAUAUGCCUAUUGAUAACUGAUCCAAAUAUGUUACUUUUUGUGCAGGUGCAGGAGCAUAAACUUGACGAGAUGCAUACUGCAUUAAUGGAGGCGUCUAUGGAUGGUCAUGUUGAAGUAGCAAAACUGCUAUACUGGAUUCCGGUGCCCAAGUCAAUAUGCCUACGGAUAGUUUCGAAUCACCUUUAAACAUUAGCCGCAUGCGGAGGUCACGUUGAUUUAGCCAUCCUAUUAAUAGAACGCGGAGCAAAUAUCGAAGAAUUCAACGCAACCCGAGAAGGACACGAUGAUAUGGUGGCGGUUUUACUACAAAGAGGUGCUGGUAUCAACGCUCAAACCGAAGAAACGCAAGAGAUAGCUCUAACGUUAGCGUGUUGCGGCGGUUUCAUCGAA